Bos taurus (domestic cattle) is the source of this 886-nucleotide long non-coding RNA. Lineage: Eukaryota; Metazoa; Chordata; Mammalia; Artiodactyla; Bovidae. The record is from Ensembl.
AGGUGUGUGGCCAGGACAGCUCAAUAAAGCUAGGAGGAGGGAGGCUGUCACAGGUGGGAGAUGAGGGGUCGCUGACCUCUUUUCCCAGAACCUUGCCUGGAGGGGGCCGGGGCCCAGGGCAGCUCCCCGUGACUACGUGUGUGGUGUGCUGAGCAGCUGGUCCCCAUCAGACCAGCCUCAAGCCUUUCCUAAGGAGGCUUUUGCUUCAGUCACAGCAGACCCUGUGUGGGGAUGGGUAACUCGGGAGGAGCGUUGCCUUGGCAACACAACGACUUAGGAGGGUGGUGCUGGUAACCAGGGCUGCUUUUGACCUUCACCAUCUUUCGGGCUGGUGGCUUUAUCAUUGCCUGCUCUGCUGCUGGGGUCUUCCCAAGUCUGUACUGAAAAGCCAGCCUCAGGGGAGGCCUUUGGCUACCCCCUUUCACCCACUUUCUCAUCUUAGAGGGCAUUGCCUUGAAUUACAUUUCACCAGAAGGUGCCACUUGAAAGCAUCUAAGCCAAAGCUGAGCCCCUGUUUGCCCUGGAUUUACCCUGUGGCUGCCACGCCAGGCCACCCCUGCUGCUCAUCCUGCAGCUAUAACCAGACAAGCAAGGUGACCUCCAGUUUCCAGAUGGAUCCAACGUAAAAGAUGGUGAAACAGCCUCAGCAUCACGUAUCCAGGUACUGUUCUAUCACCGUCUCUUGUUUUCAAAGCCCAAACACAGAACACGCAUCGCAACUGAGCUCCCCGCAGCGUGACUCUGGGGAAAGAGGCGAGGAGAAAAGCAACAUGCAUGCAGGGUCUUAGUUUCCUGAUUGGGGAUCAAACCCACGACCCCUGCAGUGGAAGCUUGGAGUCUUAACCACUAGACCAUUGGGGAAGCCCCUGCAUUUUCUAUAUGAAUA